RNAcentral lists this long non-coding RNA (2477 nucleotides) under Homo sapiens (human). Its description in RNAcentral is "HSALNT0346130". The record is from RNAcentral. Lineage: Eukaryota; Metazoa; Chordata; Mammalia; Primates; Hominidae.
CCCCUAUGAAAAUGAUACUGUUUAUCUCUGCCUUAAGGAUGAGGAAUACAGUCAGAGAAAGAAGUAUCUUAUGCAGGGUCCCUACAUAGAUAAGAAGACAUUACUGUAUGUAUUUUCUAAAUAAAUCUACAUUUAUUGGGGAUCCAAUAAAAAUUAUAACUGAACAAAUUAUUCAGUGACCAAAGUUUGGCUAUCACUAACCUGGAGGAUGAACCACGAAUUCAUGAAACAGUAUGUGGGUGGGUAACCAUAGUUUACAUUAAUCUAUUGCCUAUUACAAAAUAACUAGAAGAGAAUAUUUAAAUGUUUCUGGCAUAAAGAAAACACAUAUUUAAGGUGAUGGAUAUCCCAGUUACACUGAUUUGAUCUUUACAAAUUAUAUGAAUGUAGUAAAUUAUCACAUGUAACCUGAAAAUUGGUACAUUUAUUAUGUACCAAUAAAAAUGACAAAACAAAACAAAAAAUGAUAUCUGGACUAUUCUCAGCCUAGCCCUAGUCCACAGUCAUCCCAUUUGCCAAGCGUGCUCUAGUCAGACCCCAGGUGGCCCUGAACACCCAUCUUCCUUCCUGUCUCUCUGUCUGGGGUGUGCACUCUCCUCUUCUUAUAUUAGCCUUUCUAGUCUUACCUGUCUUGCUUACUCAUUCUUUGAGAUCCAGUUCAAAUGCUCGCUUCUUCAUGCUGCCCUCCUUGACUUACAUCUGCAGAAUUCGCAGCUCCCACGGUCACCAUUUCCACUUGCUUUAUGAUAGUGUCAAUGUUUUCCUGUAUUUGUUGAUUAGUUUUUUUAAGUUUUCUCGUUUAUCUUUCCCAGUAAUACAUAAGCUUGCAAAGGCCAUUAACCAUAUUGGGUUCAACUUAUUUAAAAAAAAUUUCUUCUGUUUGGCACAAUGCCAGACAUAUUCUCUUCCAGUUUCUCCUACUGCUGUGCUGAUAUUCAGCCUCCCAUCGCCGGUUUGGGUAUGAGAUGCUGUCAUCAGUACUUUAGUAGUCUAUUUCAUUUCAUCUGAACAAUGACCCAGUGAAGCAGGUCCUUUAGGAGACUAUGUUUACAGGGAUUAAGCAGUGAGUCCAAGGUCACACAGAUGGGUGUGGAGAUUCAAACUCAGGUCUGUGACUCUGAAGGGCAUGUCCAUAUCCAUUCUGCUACAUAAAAUCCUGUGUUCAGUACAGCUUUGAUGGCAUCCCCCAGCCACUAAAGUAUGAGAGAUCUUUAGUGGCACAGAGUAGGGUUUUACUGUUUGGAGUAGGAUGGGAGAAGGUAUUUAUUCUACUGCUUCCUUUUGAAUGUAUCUCUUGUGUAUAUCAGAAGAUAAUUGAGAGGGAAGGACAAGAAAUGAAACUGAGGCAACCAGAGAGAUGAACUUUUCUUUCCACCAGCCAUGAAAUUUAGCUCAGUGUCGAGCCAUAAGAAAUUCUCCCAAUUUUCCUCCUGUACUGUUUGUGUUUCAUUUUUAAACGGUCACCUAGUGGAUGCUUGAGUGUGGCCAGGUAAACUCAUUAUGUGGUAAGCAGUCGAUUUCUUGGGCUUUCGAUAGAAGAUUGCAUGUGGUUAUAGCUGUUUGUAGAGUUUGGUGCAAGAUAUUGCUGCACCUACUACACUCAUGUAGCUGAUUUAAUUCAACCAAUGUCCAUCUACUUUUCAGUGGAAUCAUUCUCUCCCGAUUGUCUCAGGAGACGAGCUUUAUGAGAAACCAUUUUCUGACUCUGAUUAUAUUGAGUUAAUUUUUAACCCUAGUUACCCAGCUUCUGCCUUUUUCUUUUGAAUAGUCUUAAUAAACAAUAAUGAUAAUACAAUAGGCUUUCUUAAUUAGUGAUUAUGACAAAUUGAUAGACUGUAUGUGUCAUUAUCGUUAUAGUCAUGUUUGGUGCAGUUUAGUAUAUUCUUCAAAUUAAAACUAAAAUCUUGUGUCCUGUCAGAUCUUAAAUGAUAAAAUCUAAGACACAGCAUCACUGCUCAUUUAUAUUUUUAUGAACCUUUUGGCUUUGUACAAGUGUCUAGCAGAUACCUGCAUCAUGGCCGUUUAAAACAGUGGCUCAUAACAUACAGUAAAUUUAUAGGCAGUCAUUUCUUCCAGUUGCCAACUUAUGUCACUGUACUUGUGGCUGCAAUAAAAAAAAAAUCACUAUUUAUUUCUUUAACUUUUAACAUUGAAAUGUGCCCCUAUGGUAUAUAUAUAUAUAUUAUGGAUAUAUUACUAUGUUACUGGGGUAGGUCUCCUGCCAUUUCUCAUCAGCAGAGCACAUCUAUUCGGGUGAGCUACAUUUUUAAAAUAUAUACAUGUCACAGUAAUCAUAACUGAUAUUUUAAGAGAGAUUAAUGAAUUCUGUCCUAUGGCUACAUUGCAGGAAAAUAAGCAUCCUUAACAGGAAUGCAAAAAAUUUGAUUUUGGAGAUUUUUGUCAUUCAACAAAUAUAUUUGUAUAUAUAUUUAUACAGGUACCUAUAUUUAGGUCUACAUAUGUAUACAUAUAUGUAU